RNAcentral lists this ribosomal RNA (433 nucleotides) under uncultured bacterium. Its description in RNAcentral is "partial 16S ribosomal RNA". It matches the Rfam family "Bacterial small subunit ribosomal RNA", at positions 29 to 507 of the family's 1533-position model. The record is from RNAcentral.
AGCGAACGCUGGCGGCAGGCUUAACACAUGCAAGUCGAGCGGGCCCUUCGGGGUCAGCGUCAGACGGGUUAGUAACGCGAGGGAACGUGCCCUUCGGUUCGGCAUAACUCAGGGCAACUUGAGAUAAUACCGGAUACGACCUUAUAGGGCAAGGCUUGCUGCCGAAGGAUCGGCCCGCGUCUUAUUAGCUAGUUGGUGAGGUUAUGGCUCACCAAGGCGACGAUAAGUAGCUGGUCUGAGAGGAUGAUCAGCCACACUGGGACCGUGACACGGCCCAGACUCCUACGGGAGGCAGCAGUGGGGAAUAUGGGACAAUGGGGGCAACCCUGAGCCAGCCAUGCCGCGUGAGUGAUGUCGGACUUAGGGUUGUAAAGCUCUUUUCUCCGUGACGAUAAUGACGGUACCGGAGGAAUAAGCCCCGGCUAACUUCGUG